ACUUGUCCAGAUGUCAAAAGAUCCGAUGAUGCCAAAACACCUGCAGAUAGGAAAGAAGGUGGCAUUGACAGACCUCCAGGAUGUACACCUGAAACACACUUUGUUUUCACUUCAGGCUCAUGUUUCACCUUUUUAAAAAGCAUUCAGAAUUUCCCUGACUUCUUGGAAAUCCCCAAAAAAAGCCUGACUCUGGGAAAAAAGCACAAAAGGGAGAGGAAGGGAGGAGGUGGUCAGAUCCCAGAAAUUCCAAAAACUCCUUUAAAGCAGCAAGUGCAGGGCGUGAAAAGGAGGAGCCAUGCUAGAGGAGAGCCUGGGAAUGGGGAAAUGAUUACAGGCUGUGAUCUCACUGGCACAGCCCCUCUCAGCGGCAGUGGAAAGCACAGCCUAGACUUCUCACCACUGCACACCAGAAUCCUGCCCUGGGCCUUCCCUGGUCUGCCUGACUCUGCCAUGGGCUGCAGGCUCCUCUGCUGUGUGGUCCCUCUGCCUCCUCCAAGCAGAUCCGUUGGACACAGCCGUUUCCCAAACUCUAAAAUAUCUGGUCACGCAGACGGGAGAAAAGGAGUCCCUUAAAUGUGAACAAAAUCUGGGCCAUAAUGCUAUGUAUUGGUAUAAGCAGGACUCUAAGAAAUUGCUGCAGAUAAUGUUUAUCUACAAUAAUCAGGAGCCCAUUUUAAAUGAAACAGUUCCAGAUCGCUUCUCACCUAAGUCUCCAGACAAAGCUCAUUUAAUUCUUCACAUCAAAUCCGUGGAGCUUGGUGACUCUGCUGUGUAUUUCUGUGCCAGCAGCCAAGACACAGCCCUGCAAAGUCACCACAUCCCUGUGCACAAACCUCCCAGCUCAGCCAGGAAGCUGUGGGCCAGUGCGUGCACCUGCACCCAAGGCUCCAGUCUCCACUCCCUGAUGGCCUCUGAUGGAGUUUCAGUCCGUAGUAUAGCCGGCUAG
Rhinopithecus roxellana (golden snub-nosed monkey) is the source of this 946-nucleotide RNA transcript. It is a transcript of the gene named T cell receptor beta variable 3-1-like, with no coding region annotated. The transcript has 3 exons. The record is from RefSeq and is a predicted model, not a curated record. NCBI's taxonomy places the organism in Eukaryota, Metazoa, Chordata, Mammalia, Primates, Cercopithecidae.